GUGACAUACAAAUAUGGAUGGAUUUGAUAUUGCUAAAACAAAAGUGUAUAUUCUGUGUUAGCAAUUUAGGCAGCUGGGGGCAGAAAGGCAGGUUUUGGACUACUUGCAAACAGUUUAACACAUAACAGCAGGACAGAGCCAUGUGGGAUCAUAACCAUUACAGUGGGCUUUAGUGGUUAUAGUGCUUGGACUGCCCUAUUAAAUACAUUAGACCUACCCUAUAUUUUUUAUUAUGCUGAACAUUAUCUGUACAAAAAGCACAGUGAUUUGACAUAGUUCCCUGUAUCAUGCUUUUUGUGUUGCCUUAUGUUGUUCUGUCGUAGUUAUACAGUGGAAUAUUAUCGUAGGCGUAAGAUUCUGAGUUCUGCUGUAGUUCCUUGGCAGUGCGCCGAGCCUCCCUGGCAAUCCUCUGGAAUCGGCGGAGUGAAAGAAUAACAAAAAUAAGUAGGAUUCCUUGAACAGCAAUAAAGAUAAAAAGGCACAGUUG
Pelobates cultripes (western spadefoot toad) is the source of this 487-nucleotide non-coding RNA. Lineage: Eukaryota; Metazoa; Chordata; Amphibia; Anura; Pelobatidae. The record is from the annotation of a GenBank genome assembly.